UCAGUCGACUCCUACGGGGAGGCAGCAGUGGGGAAUAUUGCACAAUGGGGGGAAACCCUGAUGCAGCCAUGCCGCGUGUGUGAAGAAGGCCUUCGGGUUGUAAAGCACUUUCAGUAGGGAGGAAGGUAGUGCAGUUAACACCUGCAUUAUUUGACGUUACCUACAGAAGAAGCACCGGCUAACUCCGUGCCAGCAGCCGCGGUAAUACGGAGGGUGCGAGCGUUAAUCGGAAUUACUGGGCGUAAAGCGCAUGCAGGCGGCCUGUUAAGUCAGAUGUGAAAGCCCGGGGCUUAACCUCGGAAUUGCAUUUGAAACUGGCAGGCUAGAGUCUUGUAGAGGGGGGUAGGAAUUUCAGGUGUAGCGGUGAAAUGCGUAGAGAUCUGAAGGAAUACCAGUGGCGAAGGCGGCCCCCUGGACAAAGACUGACGCUCAGAUGCGAAAGCGUGGGGAGCAAACAGGAUUAGAUACCCUGGUAG
RNAcentral lists this ribosomal RNA (476 nucleotides) under uncultured bacterium. RNAcentral's name for it is "bacterial SSU rRNA". It matches the Rfam family "Bacterial small subunit ribosomal RNA", at positions 328 to 793 of the family's 1533-position model. The record is from RNAcentral.